This 391-nucleotide unclassified non-coding RNA is filed under the name soil metagenome. RNAcentral's name for it is "partial contains 5.8S ribosomal RNA, internal transcribed spacer 2, and large subunit ribosomal RNA". The stretch from base 1 to 122 matches the Rfam family "5.8S ribosomal RNA", at positions 35 to 154 of the family's 154-position model. The record is from RNAcentral.
GAUGAAGAACGUAGCGAAAUGCGAUACUUGGUGUGAAUUGCAGAAUCCCGUGAACCAUCGAGUCUUUGAACGCAAGUUGCGCCCGAAGCCAUUAGGCCGAGGGCACGCCUGCCUGGGCGUCACACGUCGUUGCCCCCCCAUCUACUCCUUCGGGAUUGCGGGGGGCGGAUGAUGGCCUCCCGUGCGCCUCGCCGCGCGGUUGGCAUAAAUGCCAAGUCCUCGGCGACGCACGCCACGACAAUCGGUGGUUGCGAGACCUCGGUUGCCCGUCGUGUGCGGUCGUCGCGCAUCGAGGGCUCGAAAAAAUUGCCGGGUUCCGGCUCGGCUUUCAACGCGACCCCAGGUCAGGCGGGGUUACCCGCUGAAUUUAAGCAUAUCAAUAAGCGGAGGA